Long non-coding RNA from Ochotona curzoniae (black-lipped pika), 368 nucleotides. RefSeq lists it as uncharacterized. The transcript is spliced from 3 exons. The record is from RefSeq and is a predicted model, not a curated record. NCBI's taxonomy places the organism in Eukaryota, Metazoa, Chordata, Mammalia, Lagomorpha, Ochotonidae.
UUAUAAUCAGGAAGUGAGUUCUGCUUACAUGAAGUGGGGGACCACCACCUUUUGGUGCAGCUCUCCCAGUCUUCCACAUGGAGGCCUGGUCAUUUUAAGGACUUCCACCCUGUGCCCACCCUCCACCCCUGCCGAACUGCAACUCUUGCUUGGGAAUAAUCCACCUGUUGGGAUCUCUACAGUUGCUGCAAUGAUGCUCAAGCUUACAAACUUCCUAACAGAUCGGCCCAACAGAAGUGUGGCUUUCAGUGAUUGAUCACCCAGGUGGCGAGUCCUCUCCACUGCUCCCAGACAGAUGUGGAAGACUGAUGUUUUCACCUUGACCUAAGAGCCCUGUUCUUGGCAUAUCUUCAUUAUACCCACUCAUG